CGUGCAGAAAGUGUAGUUGCUUCUGUCUGAAGAGUCUGCACUUUUCUUUCAAGUUCUGACAUAUAGUGGGCUUUCCUCUCUUUUGACCGAGUAGCAGACUGCCGAUUUGCAAUAAUCCUUUUGGCUCGUUUUGGAUCUACAGUCCACAGCUCAGCAAGUUUACCAGGAGCCAUAGCUUUCUUGGCCUCUAUAGACUCCAUAACCGAAG
RNAcentral lists this unclassified non-coding RNA (208 nucleotides) under Hevea brasiliensis (rubber tree). The record is from RNAcentral. Lineage: Eukaryota; Viridiplantae; Streptophyta; Magnoliopsida; Malpighiales; Euphorbiaceae.